GCCACUGUGGGACAAUCUGGUACUCCGAUGGCCUUGAGAGCCGUUUUCCGAAAGGAUCUCCCGGUUCGAAUCCGGGCGGUGGCG
Molecule: transfer RNA, 84 nt
Filed under: Candidatus Woesearchaeota archaeon
Lineage: Archaea; Nanobdellati; Candidatus Woesearchaeota
Description: tRNA-Ser
Rfam family: tRNA
About the family: Transfer RNA (tRNA) molecules are approximately 80 nucleotides in length. Their secondary structure includes four short double-helical elements and three loops (D, anti-codon, and T loops).
Source: RNAcentral